Molecule: non-coding RNA, 114 nt
Organism: Acanthosepion pharaonis
Lineage: Eukaryota; Metazoa; Mollusca; Cephalopoda; Sepiida; Sepiidae
Source: the annotation of a GenBank genome assembly
UACGAACAUAUCACGUUGAAGCACCAGUUCCCGUAUAAUCACCGAAGUUAAUCAACGCUGAGCCCGGUCAGUAACUGGAUGGGUGACCUACUUGGGAAUACCAGGUGUUGUAAG